Leptopilina boulardi is the source of this 1609-nucleotide long non-coding RNA. RefSeq lists it as uncharacterized. The record is from RefSeq and is a predicted model, not a curated record. The transcript is spliced from 9 exons. NCBI's taxonomy places the organism in Eukaryota, Metazoa, Arthropoda, Insecta, Hymenoptera, Figitidae.
GUACGAUUGAGCAGAUAAUCAAGAUCAUGAGAUAUUCGAUCUAACAUUCCACUUGCGCUGUUCGUUUCACAAUUUAAUAAUUUAAGCUCGGCAAUUUUUUCCUCACCAUCGGGUUGCUUACGUUCCAUGGUGUUUGCAAUGUCAGCUAAAGUCACAUCGGGCAUUGAAUUUAUUCCUAUUGUUGUUGUUUCAACGUCGGCACUACAUAAAAUUGUCGUUGUCGUACAUUCAGAUGGUGUGACACUUUGCGAUGGUAGACAAACUUGAACAGGGACGGAGGAAGACUUUGGAUAAGCAAUAAUCUCGUUCAUAUAAUCCCUCAUGUCAAGACUACCGGCCGCUAUUCCACGUGAUUCACGAUAUUUUGUCUCAGUGAGUAGAUGCGUUGGCGCCAAAUCAUUUUCAACUUCGGGAUUCAUUUUCGAGCACACUGGAAAACAAUUAUUAUUAUUAUUAUUAUUAUUAUUACUUUUAUUAAUAUCAGGUCUUUCCACCUAAUUAUUUCUGAAGAGUAAUUAAACCUUAAGGGGAGGGCUUGUGAAAGUACCUUUAAUUUGAUCAGAGAUGCAUUCCUCUUCAAUGCCUCCUUUAUGCCUUGCUUUACAUUUGGAAAUCAAGCACUUGAGCUCAUUGCUUACGACAUACGUCAUGAAAAUAAUGAAUCCCUGCUCAGAGAAGGAUCAACAUUAAUUAAAAAAAAAAGUGGUGGCUAGGACGGACGUUUGUAAGCUCGGCGUAAAUGAUUAGCGCUUGAGAUAUUGGCGCUGUCAUAGCAACGAGGAGAAAAGUCUCCAGACUUAAUGCCACGAUAGACCAGGAACUCUAUAAAACCAUUGAAUUUGUUUAUUCUUGUAAGAAUUAAUGGUUCAUAGAGGCAAUUGGAAAAAUCAGGACUUUGCCACCUCGUUGAAGUUGCAUCUUUCAUUGAGCAAAGCCUCGAAGCAUGACGUCCAAUAAAAUGUCGAGGACAAUCAAGAAGUGCUUCUGUUCCAGGACCAGUUUCGGACCAUUCUAAGCCCCAGGAUUUUUCUUUUUGACAAAGAGGAAUCAAAGUUCGAUUCACAACUUCCACACGAACUGACAUUGACCUUAAGGCAACGUUACAGUGUCACACUCAUUGGAACAACUUUAACGUCCGAUUCAUCUUUGAUUUCAAUAUAAAUACUUUUACAUUGCUGCAUUCCCCAAUCGACAACUUGACACGUAUAUUUUCCACCGUCGAGAAGAGUUGCCUUGUCUAUUGUCAAUAAAGACGUAUGCAAAUCCGAUCCAUCAUUUGCGCCUUUAAAUAUUUUACUACACCUUAAGUCUGAGUGAUGGUUUCUGCUGAAAGGUAAAGUGUGUGGAUUCAAGAGUGAUUUCGUUUAACCGUCGACGUUGAACGAGACGAUUAAGUGCUUCUCGAAUUUUAUCCCCAUCAUGUGAGUUGCCGAAAAAAUGAAACGUCACUUCCGAUGAAGAAUAUCCGCUGUGGUACUUAAAAAUCACUCAGGAGACUCCAAGAAAUAUGGUUCAUCGGAUGUAACUAGAACGCAGGAUAAAUCUGUUGCAGUUGGACACAUCAUAUUUUUCAAUGUAUCCUUAGAGACACGAAUAACUUCAAUUCCAU